Molecule: long non-coding RNA, 797 nt
Filed under: Fukomys damarensis (Damara mole-rat)
Lineage: Eukaryota; Metazoa; Chordata; Mammalia; Rodentia; Bathyergidae
Description: lncRNA (ENSFDAG00000021561.1)
Source: RNAcentral
CCAGAGUUUCUGCACAUUGGCUCUCUCAGAAAAGUACUUCGUAGGUUUGCCGUGAUGGCUGCCAAGGCCAAGGCCAAGGCCACUGUUUGCCAGGGUGUUUCAUAUUCCACUCAGAUAAUCUGAGUGAUACAGGUUUGGUUUGGAUCCCACCUUCCAAGAUGAAAGGGACCAUUCACUGCCCAGCAUUUUAAAAUCUGCCUUCAUUGGCUGAAAGAUGGACUCUUAGGGCUUCUACCCAAAACCAUUGUUACACCUUGUUUUGUGAAAACCAAGGAGCUAGGUAGGUAUUCUUGAGGUGAGGGGUGGUUGCAGGAGGAGGAGUGCAGUAAGAGGUAUGAGUCUAGAAGUUGUCUCAUACACGCUCCAGGGUUCUGUGUGCUGUGGUGCCAACUCUUUGGGGUAACUGUCAGUGGUAGGAGAUUGGGGGUGAGGGGCCUUGCUUUCCAACCCUCAUUGAGCACGUGCUCGGUGCCAGGCCUCAUUCUGGGCACUGGAUAGGCAUGGUCUCAUUUGGGCUUUGUGGGUGGUGGGCUGGUAGAGCAGACCCUGCAGCUGACAUGCCCACUCUGUCAUCUUGCAUCCCACAGAUUACACAGACAGAGGUCCAGCAAGGACAGCAGCAGUUCAGCCAGUUCACAGAUGGACAGAGGAACAGUGUACAGCAAGCUCAAGGCUCUGAGCUAACAGGAGAGGCAGAGCCCAGAGAAGUGAAAGCCACAGGAAAUGCAACUCCCUGCACCUCCUCCCUGCCCGGUACACAUUCCCCCUCACACCAGGCUGGUGCCUCCUGUGUCUGC